This 253-nucleotide ribosomal RNA is filed under the name Metainae sp. 128. RNAcentral's name for it is "partial 18S ribosomal RNA". It matches the Rfam family "Eukaryotic small subunit ribosomal RNA", at positions 1508 to 1755 of the family's 1831-position model. Lineage: Eukaryota; Metazoa; Arthropoda; Arachnida; Araneae; Tetragnathidae. The record is from RNAcentral.
GGAAUCAGCGUGUGCUUUCCCUGUCCGACAGGACUGGGUAACCCGUUGAACCUCCUUCGUGCUGGGGAUAGGGGCUUGUAACUAUUCCCCUUGAACGAGGAAUUCCCAGUAAGCAUGAGUCAUUAGCUCGUGUUGAUUACGUCCCUGCGCUUUGUACACACCGCCCGUCGCUAUUAUCGAUGAAUGUUGGAGUGAGAUCUUCGGACUGGUGCCCGGACUGGACUUUGCGGUUCGAGCCGGAGUGCCGGAAAGA